UGACAUUUUGCUUUGAACUUUAGCAACCAGCUGAUACUGACUUUUCUGAAAACAGUUGUCAACCAACUGUUUGGUAAAGUGACUGUUUUUAUGUUACGGUAUUCUGAAGAACAUGAUUGAAGAGAUUGAAUCCUCUUUGCAAAGACUGCCUAUUCUCAACAAUUUCUCUUUCUGUGAAAGAGCAUCUUGAAGAAUUUGUUUAUGGCUUCAUUAGUAUCUUCGUGUUCUUCUUGCAUUGCUACUCAAUAUAAAUAUGACGUCUUCCUCAGUUUCAGAGGGGAGGAUACUCGUGAUAACUUCACCAGCCAUCUCUAUGCCGCCUUGUGUCGGAAGAAAGUAGAAACUUUCAUAGAUGAAGAAGAACUUGAGAUAGGAGAUGAGAUUUCGCCUGCCUUGUUGUGAUGAAGAAGAACUCGAGAUAGGAGAUGAGAUUUCGCCUGCCUUGUUGAUGGCAAUCAAUGCAUCAAAGAUUGCAGUGAUCAUUUUCUCAAAGCACUAUGCUU
RNAcentral lists this long non-coding RNA (503 nucleotides) under Citrus sinensis (sweet orange). Its description in RNAcentral is "long non-coding RNA (CSIN_LNC004930)". Lineage: Eukaryota; Viridiplantae; Streptophyta; Magnoliopsida; Sapindales; Rutaceae. The record is from RNAcentral.